RNAcentral lists this transfer RNA (76 nucleotides) under Candidatus Sulfotelmatobacter kueseliae. RNAcentral's name for it is "Pseudo tRNA". The record is from RNAcentral. Lineage: Bacteria; Pseudomonadati; Acidobacteriota; Terriglobia; Terriglobales; Candidatus Korobacteraceae.
CACGCCAUCGUCUAGCAGCCUAGGACGCGGAGCUUGCUCCUCCGAGACAUCGGUGCGAAUCCGAUUGGCGUGACCA